UACGUAGGUGGCAAGCGUUGUCCGGAAUUAUUGGGCGUAAAGCGUGCGUAGGCGGUUUGUUUAGUCAGAUGUGAAAGCCCCGGGCUCAACCUAGGAACUGCAUUUGAUACUGGCAGACUAGAGUAUGGUAGAGGGGGGUAGAAUUCCUGGUGUAGCGGUGAAAUGCGUAGAUAUCAGGAGGAAGACCAGUGGCGAAGGCGACCCCCUGGGCCAAUACUGACGCUGAGGUACGAAAGCGUGGGUAGCGAACAGG
RNAcentral lists this ribosomal RNA (253 nucleotides) under uncultured bacterium. RNAcentral's name for it is "partial 16S ribosomal RNA". It matches the Rfam family "Bacterial small subunit ribosomal RNA", at positions 524 to 776 of the family's 1533-position model. The record is from RNAcentral.